AGUCGAGGAGCGAGGAGCAGGGGUGGCGGGGCAUGCGGGAGAGAGAGAGGAGAGAGCUUUGUCCUCUUUUGCAUGCACAAUCUGGUGGGCCUAGCGAGGAAAAAGGAGGAGAGAGAGACUAGAGAGGCUGACAGUGGGCCUUUUGUAGUUAAAUUAUAGCGCCGGCGCCCCCAGCUGCUCCCCGGCGUGCUGGGUUUGCCUUGCGUGUGCCGGCCGUAACUUUCGUCAAAACCGGCGCAAAACUGGUUCCUGAGACCCCGAGUGGGUCGUUUUUUGCCCGCCGGUGUCUAAAAAUGCGCCUGGGGAGCCUUCUUGAGGGCCUGGCUGGAGAUGCCCUUAUCCCCAUGUCCUUAAUUUGCUUGUGCAAUGAAUGCUGAAUUUGGACAGUAGUGAUUUAUUUGUGCAGUCCAUGCUGAAAAGUUGAAAAACGAAAAGAUGACAUGAUGGGUUUCAAAAGUGAUAGUGGUUGUUUAACUCUCCUUUGUUGAACUGCACUGUUUUGUCUACUAAAUUAUGGUCAAUAUUUGCUUCAACGCUGGUUGUAUUCACCUCAAUGCAGGUUAAAAUGAAGUAAACAUUGUUCUGUAUUUCUGUGCUCCCGUUGUAUUCACUUCAAUGCCUGUUGCAAUUUUCUACGAAACUUCUAAGACUUGUAUUAAAUGUUUUUAACAUCUGGUGGACCCUUUUGAUUUAGAGGAUUUGGGUCAGGGAUUCAAGAACUAAUGGUUUCAUCCACACGUGUUUUAUUACGAUGCUAUCAAAAGCAGGGGUACAUUUCCUUAUGUGCACUUCCCUUUCUAUCUUAUGAAUAAAUUUGAAACAUUCUUCUGUUUCGCACUGUAGUUUAAUUUAGGAGUCAGGAUUGCCAACUCAUUAAGAAUCUAUGAAGUUACAUACAAAUGUGUACAUAGUUAGAUAUCUUUGCCCAUUUUUUAACCUUGAAUGACAGUUGAGAGAAGCUCCCACUGCCUUAUAAAAUAAAAUCUUGCUUUACAUAAUUACAUUGGUUGGUUGUUGAGGGAACUCCCAACCAGAGGGGUAGUUGCAAUGGAAAACCAGAAAAGAAACUAGGGCCUAGGCGGGGGCAACUGGAUAGGGUGACUAGAGAGUCCACAAACGAGGUAAUGAAGGGUACUAGCCGUUGUGCAAAACUUGAUGGAUGGCACAUAUAUUGCUUGUUUAACAGAUGAAAUUCAGGAAUUUAUGGCAUACAUAAUAUUUGAUUAUAAUGAUCUGUACAUAUACAUUAUGCAUAUGCUAACUGCAGUAGCGACAAAGAGUGGCUGGUGAGUGUGAAACAAAGCGCUCUCACGCGCCAGCACGAUCAUGUGCUUGCCAGAUCCAUUUCGAAGCCUGGCUGAUGAAUGGCUAGCUUAUAUGGUUAUGUUCUUGUAGGCUGAGGUUUUCUAUCUUGGGCAACUGAGGCAGAAGAACCUGGUAAAUUGGUUGAGUAGUGCUAUGAGGAUGAACACAGGAUGCUGGUGUACAAGUGCAUGAGCAUUGGUAGCCUUGAGACACACCUCUUCAAAAGUAUAAAUUGCUCCCUUCCGUGGAUGACAAGGAUAAAAAAUGACCAAGGAUGAAGAUUGCUAUUGGCGCGGCUAAGGGACUUUCUUGAUGCUAUCUCGCCAGUGAUCUACAAGGCCUACAACAUCUUGCUCGACUCACGCGGGCUAUAACGUGAGUCUGAGCCUCCACGAGCUCAAUGCCGUCGGGUACCAGCACUCUACACGCUUGCCGAUGCAGUGGUCGUUCAGGUUGACUCGACGACUAGGUAGCAGCAGGAGCAGAUGUGAAAAAGGCGGUGGUCAUCGAGGUCGACUUGACCGGCUAAGUGUGCAUUUGCUUUUGAAGCACUUCUCUUAUUCGUAAUCAGUCAUUUAGGCUACAAAACUGCUACUUCUCUGUUCAUAUAAGCUUAUCCAUAUGUAUGAUGCUCUCACCUAAUGUAUUUUUAUGAAUGUGCACAGCCAGUAUUGCAUUUCUACUGCUGUAUUUUAUUUUCCCAAUCAAUAAGAUGGUACUGUCACUGCUA
Triticum urartu is the source of this 2035-nucleotide non-coding RNA. The record is from RefSeq and is a predicted model, not a curated record. NCBI's taxonomy places the organism in Eukaryota, Viridiplantae, Streptophyta, Magnoliopsida, Poales, Poaceae.